RNAcentral lists this unclassified non-coding RNA (235 nucleotides) under plant metagenome. RNAcentral's name for it is "partial contains small subunit ribosomal RNA, internal transcribed spacer 1, and 5.8S ribosomal RNA". The record is from RNAcentral.
UUUCCGUAGGUGAACCUGCGGAAGGAUCAUUAAAGUUAUAGUCCCCCGGCCCCUCCGGGCUGGGGUCUUCUAUACCACCCUUUGUUUAUUACACCUUUGUUGCUUUGGCAGGCCUGCCCUCGGGCUGCUGGCUCCGGCCGGCUCGUGCCUGCCAGAGGACCUAAACUCUGUUUGUAUAUGAAGUCUGAGUACUAUAUAAUAGUUAAAACUUUCAACAACGGACCUCUUGGUUCUG